AGCACGGGAGCAAUCCUGGUGGCGAGUGGCGAACGGGUGAGUAAUAUAUCGGAACGUGCCCAGUCGUGGGGGAUAACGUAGCGAAAGCUACGCUAAUACCGCAUACGAUCUAUGGAUGAAAGCGGGGGAUCGCAAGACCUCGCGCGAUUGGAGCGGCCGAUAUCAGAUUAGCUAGUUGGUGGGGUAAAAGCCCACCAAGGCGACGAUCUGUAGCUGGUCUGAGAGGACGACCAGCCACACUGGAACUGAGACACGGUCCAGACUCCUACGGGAGGCAGCAGUGGGGAAUUUUGGACAAUGGGCGCAAGCCUGAUCCAGCAAUGCCGCGUGCAGGACGAAGGCCUUCGGGUUGUAAACUGCUUUUGUACGGAACGAAAAAGUCUGCCCUAAUACGGUGGGCUCAUGACGGUACCGUAAGAAUAAGCACCGGCUAACUACGUGCCAGCAGCCGCGGUAAUACGUAGGGUGCAAGCGUUAAUCGGAAUUACUGGGCGUAAAGCGUGCGCAGGCGGUUUUGUAAGACAGAUGUGAAAUCCCCGGGCUCAACCUGGGACCUGCAUUUGUGACUGCAAAGCUAGAGUACGGCAGAGGGGGAUGGAAUUCCGCGUGUAGCAGUGAAAUGC
RNAcentral lists this ribosomal RNA (623 nucleotides) under uncultured bacterium. Its description in RNAcentral is "bacterial SSU rRNA". It matches the Rfam family "Bacterial small subunit ribosomal RNA", at positions 71 to 689 of the family's 1533-position model. The record is from RNAcentral.